GAAAGCUAUUUAGGUAGCGCCUCGUGAAUUCAUCUCCGGGGGUAGAGCACUGUUUCGGCAAGGGGGUCAUCCCGACUUACCAACCCGAUGCAAACUGCGAAUACCGGAGAAUGUUAUCACGGGAGACACACGGCGGGUGCUAACGUCCGUCGUGAAGAGGGAAACAACCCAGACCGCCAGCUAAGGUCCCAAAGUCAUGGUUAAGUGGGAAACGAUGUGGGAAGGCCCAGACAGCCAGGAUGUUGGCUUAGAAGCAGCCAUCAUUUAAAGAAAGCGUAAUAGCUCACUGGUCGAGUCGGCCUGCGCGGAAGAUGUAACGGGGCUAAACCAUGCACCGAAGCUGCGGCAGCGACGCUGAUGCGUUGUUGGGUAGGGGAGCGUUCUGUAAGCCUGCGAAGGUGUGCUGUGAGGCAUGCUGGAGGUAUCAGAAGUGCGAAUGCUGACAUAAGUAACGAUAAAGCGGGUGAAAAGCCCGCUCGCCGGAAGACCAAGGGUUCCUGUCCAACGUUAAUCGGGGCAGGGUGAGUCGACCCCUAAGGCGAGGCCGAAAGGCGUAGUCGAUGGGAAACAGGUUAAUAUUCCUGUGCUUGGUGUUACUGCGAAGGGGGGACGGAGAAGGCUAUGUUGGCCGGGCGACGGUUGUCCCGGUUUAAGCGUGUAGGCUGGUUUUCCAGGCAAAUCCGGAAAAUCAAGGCUGAGGCGUGAUGACGAGGCACUACGGUGCUGAAGCAACAAAUGCCCUGCUUCCAGGAAAAGCCUCUAAGCAUCAGGUAACAUCAAAUCGUACCCCAAACCGACACAGGUGGUCAGGUAGAGAAUACCAAGGCGCUUGAGAGAACUCGGGUGAAGGAACUAGGCAAAAUGGUGCCGUAACUUCGGGAGAAGGCACGCUGAUAUGUAGGUGAAGUCCCUCGCGGAUGGAGCUGAAAUCAGUCGAAGAUACCAGCUGGCUGCAACUGUUUAUUAAAAACACAGCACUGUGCAAACACGAAAGUGGACGUAUACGGUGUGACGCCUGCCCGGUGCCGGAAGGUUAAUUGAUGGGGUCAGCGCAAGCGAAGCUCUUGAUCGAAGCCCCGGUAAACGGCGGCCGUAACUAUAACGGUCCUAAGGUAGCGAAAUUCCUUGUCGGGUAAGUUCCGACCUGCACGAAUGGCGUAAUGAUGGCCAGGCUGUCUCCACCCGAGACUCAGUGAAAUUGAACUCGCUGUGAAGAUGCAGUGUACCCGCGGCAAGACGGAAAGACCCCGUGAACCUUUACUAUAGCUUGACACUGAACAUUGAGCCUUGAUGUGUAGGAUAGGUGGGAGGCUUUGAAGUGUGGACGCCAGUCUGCAUGGAGCCGACCUUGAAAUACCACCCUUUAAUGUUU
Molecule: ribosomal RNA, 1372 nt
Filed under: Escherichia coli
Lineage: Bacteria; Pseudomonadati; Pseudomonadota; Gammaproteobacteria; Enterobacterales; Enterobacteriaceae
Description: partial 23S ribosomal RNA
Rfam family: Bacterial large subunit ribosomal RNA
Source: RNAcentral